AUGGCUCAGAUUGAACGCUGGCGGAAUGCUUUACACAUGCAAGUCGAACGGCAGCACGGGGCAACCUGGUGGCGAGUGGCGAACGGGUGAGUAAUACAUCGGAACGUGCCCAAUCGUGGGGGAUAACGUAGCGAAAGUUACGCUAAUACCGCAUACGAUCUACGGAUGAAAGCGGGGGAUCGCAAGACCUCGCGCGAGUGGAGCGGCCGAUGUCAGAUUAGGUAGUUGGUGGGGUAAAGGCUCACCAAGCCAACGAUCUGUAGCUGGUCUGAGAGGACGACCAGCCACACUGGAACUGAGACACGGUCCAGACUCCUACGGGAGGCAGCAGUGGGGAAUUUUGGACAAUGGGCGCAAGCCUGAUCCAGCCAUUCCGCGUGCAGGAUGAAGGCCUUCGGGUUGUAAACUGCUUUUGUACGGAACGAAACGGCGAGCUCUAAUACAGUUUGCUAAUGACGGUACCGUAAGAAUAAGCACCGGCUAACUACGUG
This 491-nucleotide ribosomal RNA is filed under the name uncultured bacterium. Its description in RNAcentral is "bacterial SSU rRNA". It matches the Rfam family "Bacterial small subunit ribosomal RNA", at positions 19 to 507 of the family's 1533-position model. The record is from RNAcentral.